ACUCUAGUUGAUCCUGCUAGAGGACACUGCUAUCGGUUUGGGGAUAAGACAUGCAAGUGGAACGGGCUCGCAUCCGAGUCCGUCGCGAACGGCUCAGUAGUGUCGUUAACCCACCCUGUAGAGGCGGACAACGCCGGGAAACUGGCGGUAAUCCACCGUAGGAGCAUUGUUCUGGAAAUGAUUUUGCUCUCAUAAGGAGCCCAAGGUAUGUUGGGAUUUCCGCUAUAGGACGGGACGGCACCGGAUCAUACUUGUAAGUGGGGUAAUUGCCCACUUAGGUUAUGACCCGAACGGGCGAUGUAAGUCGUGGCCCGGAGAAGGGCACUGAGACAAGGGCCCUAGCCCCACGGGGUGCAGCAGUUACGAAACCUCACCAAUAUGCGCAAGCAUGAGUGGGCCAAACCGAGUGAUGGGGGAUAACUCCAUCUGUGGCGAAACCGUAGUAAGGUUCGCUAGAAAGGAGAGGGCAAGGCUGGUGCCAGCCGCCGCGGUAAAACCAGCUCUUCSAGUGSUGUCCAUGAUUAUUGAGCUUAAGCGUUCGUAGCCUGUUUUGUAGGUCCCUGCUUAAAUCCGGCCGCCUAACGGUCGGUCUGGUAGGGAUACCGCAUUACUUGGGGACGGGAGACGACAACGGUAUUCCGGAGGUAAGGGUGAAAUCUAAUGAUCUUCGGAGGACCACCAGUGGCGAAGGCGGUUGUCGAGAACGUGCCCGACGGUGAGGGACGAAACCCAGGGGAGCAAAUCGGAUUAGAUACCCGAGUAGUCCUGGGCGUAAACGAUGCCCGUUAAGUGUUGCAUUGGCCACGAGCCACUGCAGUGCUGCAGCGAAAGCGAUAAACGGGCCGCUUGGGAAGUACGGUCGCAAGACUGAAACUUAAAGGAAUUGGCGGGGGAGCACCACAAGGGGUGGAGCUUGCGGUUUAAUUGGACAACGCCGGAAAACUUACCCGCCCAGACAGCCGAAUGAGAGCCAGACUGAUGAUCUUGCUCGACGAGCUGAGAGCUGGUGCAUGGCCAUCGUAAAUUCGUGCCGUGAGGUAUCAGCUUAAGUGCUGCAACGAAUGAGAUCCCUGCCACCUAGUUGCCAGCCGGGAGCUUUGCUCCGUCGGGGCACACUAGGGGGACUGCCAGCGAGAAGCUGGAGGAGGGUAGGGGCCACGGUAGGUCAGUAUGCCGCGAUAUGGGCGGGGCCACACGCGUGCUACAAUGGCAAGGACAAUGCGUCACGACGCCGAAAGGCGAAGUCAAUCGCGAAACCUUGUCGUAGUUGGAAUUGGGGGUUGGAACUCAUCCCCAUGAACCUGGAAUCCCUAGUAUCCGCGUCUCACUACGGCGCGGAGAAUACGUCCCUGCUUCUUGCACACACCGCCCGUCGCUCCAUGCGAGCUGGUUUUGGGUGAGGCUUCGUCCUUAAUUGGGCGGAGACCAAUCUGGGGUUAGCAAGUAGGGAGAAGUCGUAACAAGGUAUCCGUAGCGGAAGCUGCGGAUGGAUCACCUCCGU
RNAcentral lists this ribosomal RNA (1501 nucleotides) under uncultured archaeon. RNAcentral's name for it is "partial 16S ribosomal RNA". It matches the Rfam family "Archaeal small subunit ribosomal RNA". The record is from RNAcentral.